GAUGAACGCUGGCGGCGUGCCUAAUACAUGCAAGUCGAGCGGUAAGGCCCCUUCGGGGGUACACGAGCGGCGGACGGCUGAGUAACACGUAGGAACGUACCCCAAAGUGAGGGAUAGGCACCAGAAAUGGUGUCUAAUACCGCAUGUGGCCUUAGGGCUAAAGCUCUCGAGCGCUUUGGGAACGGCCUGCGCAUGAUUAGCUUGUUGGUGAGGUAAUAGCUCACCAAGGCGACGAUCAUUAGCUGGUCUGAGAGGAUGAUCAGCCAGACUGGGACUGAGAACGGCCCAGACUCCUACGGGAGGCAGCAGUAGGGAAUUUUCCACAAUGGGCGAAAGCCUGAUGGGAGCAACGCCGCGUGCA
This 361-nucleotide ribosomal RNA is filed under the name uncultured bacterium. RNAcentral's name for it is "bacterial SSU rRNA". It matches the Rfam family "Bacterial small subunit ribosomal RNA", at positions 28 to 405 of the family's 1533-position model. The record is from RNAcentral.